RNAcentral lists this ribosomal RNA (958 nucleotides) under uncultured bacterium. Its description in RNAcentral is "bacterial SSU rRNA". It matches the Rfam family "Bacterial small subunit ribosomal RNA", at positions 68 to 1051 of the family's 1533-position model. The record is from RNAcentral.
AGAAUUGCUAGCUUGCUAAUAAUUCUCUAGUGGCGCACGGGUGAGAACACGUGAGUAACCUGCCCCCGAGAGCGGGAUGGCCCUGGGAAACUGGGAUUAAUACCGCAUAGUAUCGAAAGAUUAAAGCAGCAAUGCGCUUGGGGAUGGGCUCGCGGCCUAUUAGUUAGUUGGUGAGGUAACGGCUCACCAAGGCGAUGACGGGUAGCCGGUCUGAGAGGAUGUCCGGCCACACUGGAACUGAGACACGGUCCAGACACCUACGGGUGGCAGCAGUCGAGAAUCAUUCACAAUGGGGGAAACCCUGAUGGUGCGACGCCGCGUGGGGGAAUGAAGGUCUUCGGAUUGUAAACCCCUGUCAUGUGGGAGCAAAUUAAAAAGAUAGUACCACAAGAGGAAGAGACGGCUAACUCUGUGCCAGCAGCCGCGGUAAUACAGAGGUCUCAAGCGUUGUUCGGAAUCACUGGGCGUAAAGCGUGCGUAGGCUGUUUCGUAAGUCGUGUGUGAAAGGCGCGGGCUCAACCCGCGGACGGCACAUGAUACUGCGAGACUAGAGUAAUGGAGGGGGAACCGGAAUUCUCGGUGUAGCAGUGAAAUGCGUAGAUAUCGAGAGGAACACUCGUGGCGAAGGCGGGUUCCUGGACAUUAACUGACGCUGAGGCACGAAGGCCAGGGGAGCGAAAGGGAUUAGAUACCCCUGUAGUCCUGGCAGUAAACGGUGCACGCUUGGUGUGCGGGGAAUCGACCCCCUGCGUGCUGGAGCUAACGCGUUAAGCGUGCCGCCUGGGGAGUACGGUCGCAAGAUUAAAACUCAAAGAAAUUGACGGGGACCCGCACAAGCGGUGGAGUAUGUGGCUUAAUUCGAUGCAACGCGAAGAACCUUACCUGGGCUUGACAUGUAAUGAACAACAUGUGAAAGCAUGCGACUCUUCGGAGGCGUUACACAGGUGCUGCAUGGCCG